Long non-coding RNA from Neomonachus schauinslandi (Hawaiian monk seal), 100 nucleotides. RefSeq lists it as uncharacterized. NCBI's taxonomy places the organism in Eukaryota, Metazoa, Chordata, Mammalia, Carnivora, Phocidae. The record is from RefSeq and is a predicted model, not a curated record. The transcript is spliced from 3 exons.
CUGGAAAGUUCUGGUCUCUUGUACUCAGAAGGAUUCUGGUUUUCUGGAUUUACUUAGGAAGAACUUAAGAUCUUGGGUGUCACUCCAGCACCCUCUUUCG